UAAAAAAAAAAAAAAAAAAGAACGCAUUUACUUGAUUCCUACACUGCUUCGCCAUAUGUUAGUAGAUGUUUGAAUAAAUGGACAUCAACCAUUAUAAUUGUUCAGUGCCUGUGUGAUGUUUUGGCAACUUUAAAGAUAUUGAUUUGUAGAAUGGUAUCAUACCUUCUUGGGGGAGAGCAUAUUUUUGUAAUGGGAAGUUCUGUUGCUUUUCCUUCUAUUUUCUGGUUGUCAUGCUAUUUUUUUAAAAGGAAAAUUUCAAGGCUAGCAUGGUAGAAAUGUUACCAUGAAAAAUUAUAUGCUACAACAGUGAUUCUACGUAGGCUAACUUACAUAAAAUGAUAAGCCAAUAAUAAAUGUAUAUGUAUAUACGAGUGGGUUUUAUAAAAUUAUAAUUAAAAUGUAAUUUUUUUUAAUAAUUUAAAUAAUCGUAAUGUCUUAUACAUACAUUUUUUAUUGGCUUGUCCUUCUACAUAAACUGUUUUCUGGAAUAAUGAAUACGCUAUAUAAUUUCUUCAUGAUAAAAAAA
Molecule: unclassified non-coding RNA, 526 nt
Filed under: Hevea brasiliensis (rubber tree)
Lineage: Eukaryota; Viridiplantae; Streptophyta; Magnoliopsida; Malpighiales; Euphorbiaceae
Source: RNAcentral